This 440-nucleotide ribosomal RNA is filed under the name uncultured bacterium. RNAcentral describes it as "partial 16S ribosomal RNA". It matches the Rfam family "Bacterial small subunit ribosomal RNA", at positions 338 to 795 of the family's 1533-position model. The record is from RNAcentral.
CCUACGGGAGGCAGCAGUGGGGAAUAUUGCACAAUGGGGGGAACCCUGAUGCAGCCACGCCGCGUGGGUGAAGAAGUACUCCGGUAUGUAAAGCCCUGUCAGCAGGGAAGAAAAUGACGGUACCUGACCAAGAAGCCCCGGCUAACUACGUGCCAGCAGCCGCGGUAAUACGUAGGGGGCAGGCGUUAUCCGGAUUUACUGGGUGUAAAGGGAGCGUAGACGGCAAGGCAAGUCUGGAGUGAAAGCCCGGGGCCCAACCACGGGACCGCUUUGGAAACUGUGUUGCUGGAGUGCAGGAGGGGUAAGCGGAAUUCCUAGUGUAGCGGUGAAAUGCGUAGAUAUUAGGAGGAACACCGGUGGCGAAGGCGGCUUACUGGACUGUAACUGACGUUGAGGCUCGAAGGCGUGGGGAGCAAACAGGAUUAGAUACCCUUGUAGUC